CAGCCGCCGCGGGGAUACAGAGGGUGCAAGCGUUAAUCGGAAUUACUGGGCGUAAAGCGCGCGUAGGUGGUUUGUUAAGUUGGAUGUGAAAGCCCCGGGCUCAACCUGGGAACUGCAUCCAAAACUGGCAAGCUAGAGUACGGUAGAGGGUGGUGGAAUUUCCUGUGUAGCGGUGAAAUGCGUAGAUAUAGGAAGGAACACCAGUGGCGAAGGCGACCACCUGGACUGAUACUGACACUGAGGUGCGAAAGCGUGGGGAGCAAACAGGAUUAGAUACCCCCGUAGUCCCUGUCUCUUAUAC
Molecule: ribosomal RNA, 301 nt
Filed under: uncultured bacterium
Lineage: Bacteria
Description: partial 16S ribosomal RNA
Rfam family: Bacterial small subunit ribosomal RNA
Source: RNAcentral